GUCUCUUUCCUCUGUCGGAUUUUUAAUUCAACAUCGAGGUCAUAAGCUCUCCGUUCAAUAAGAGCUUUAAGGAGAAUUAUGCUGUUACCCCCGAAGUAAUUUACUCUUUCCCUCCGUUAAGGGGUCCUGCUGUCCGUUUUCUUCGUUCAUAUUAAUUUAGAUUCGUUCUUCUUUAAAUCCGCCGUCCCAGCUAAACUUUUUAUUUUUUUUACCUGCCUUGGUUGUUUUACAUAGUUAAAUUUUACGGGGUCUUAUCGUCCCUGAGUUUUGACUAAGGGUUUUAACUUAGAACCUAAUUUCGUUUUAUUUUAAGAACAGUUGCCUUGCCAUUCAACCGUUUAUACAAGCCUUAAAUUAAAAAGCAAACUACUACGCUACCUUAGUAUAGUCAGAGUACUAUAGCCCUUUAUUAUUCUCAGGGGGCAGGUUAKACCUGGUGCGAUGUUCUACAGGACAUGUUU
Molecule: ribosomal RNA, 461 nt
Filed under: Campylaspis horrida
Lineage: Eukaryota; Metazoa; Arthropoda; Malacostraca; Cumacea; Nannastacidae
Description: partial large subunit ribosomal RNA
Source: RNAcentral